RNAcentral lists this ribosomal RNA (547 nucleotides) under uncultured bacterium. RNAcentral describes it as "bacterial SSU rRNA". It matches the Rfam family "Bacterial small subunit ribosomal RNA", at positions 358 to 916 of the family's 1533-position model. The record is from RNAcentral.
GGAAUAUUGGGCAAUGGAGGAAACUCUGACCCAGCGACGCCGCGUGAGGGAUGAAGGCCUUCGGGUUGUAAACCUCUUUCAGUAGGGAAGAAGCGAAAGUGACGGUACCUACAGAAGAAGCACCGGCUAACUAUGUGCCAGCAGCCGCGGUAAUACAUAGGGUGCAAGCGUUGUCCGGAAUUAUUGGGCGUAAAGAGCUCGUAGGUGGUUCGAUACGUCGGAUGUGAAAAUCAGGGGCUCAACCCCUGACCUGCAUCCGAUACGGUCGAGCUAGAGUUUGGUAGGGGAGACUGGAAUUCCUGGUGUAGCGGUGGAAUGCGCAGAUAUCAGGAGGAACACCGAUGGCGAAGGCAGGUCUCUGGGCCAAUACUGACACUGAGGAGCGAAAGCGUGGGGAGCGAACAGGAUUAGAUACCCUGGUAGUCCACGCCGUAAACGGUGGGCGCUAGUUGUGCGAACCUUCCACGGUUUGUGCGACGCAGCUAACGCAUUAAGCGCCCCGCCUGGGGAGUACGAUCGCAAGAUUAAAACUCAAAGGAAUUGACGG